GAUGAACGCUGGCGGCGUGCCUAAUACAUGCAAGUCGAGCGAACAGACGAGGAGCUUGCUCCUCUGACGUUAGCGGCGGACGGGUGAGUAACACGUGGAUAACCUACCUAUAAGACUGGGAUAACUUCGGGAAACCGGAGCUAAUACCGGAUAAUAUAUUGGACCGCAUGGUUCAAUAGUGAAAGACGGUUUUGCUGUCACUUAUAGAUGGAUCCGCGCCGCAUUAGCUAGUUGGUAAGGUAACGGCUUACCAAGGCGACGAUGCGUAGCCGACCUGAGAGGGUGAUCGGCCACACUGGAACUGAGACACGGUCCAGACUCCUACGGGAGGCAGCAGUAGGGAAUCUUCCGCAAUGGGCGAAAGCCUGACGGAGCAACGCCGCGUGAGUGAUGAAGGUCUUCGGAUCGUAUAACUCUGUUAUUAGGGAAGAACAAAUGUGUAAGUAACUAUGCACGUCUUGACGGUACCUAAUCAGAAAGCCACGGCUAACUACGUG
This 497-nucleotide ribosomal RNA is filed under the name uncultured bacterium. RNAcentral describes it as "partial 16S ribosomal RNA". It matches the Rfam family "Bacterial small subunit ribosomal RNA", at positions 28 to 507 of the family's 1533-position model. The record is from RNAcentral.